GAUGAACGCUAGCGGGGGGCCUAACACAUGCAAGCCGAGCGGUAGAGUUUCUUCGGAAACUUGAGAGCGGCGCACGGGUGCGUAACACGUGUGCAACCUACCUUUAUCUGGGGGAUAGCCUUUCGAAAGGAAGAUUAAUACCCCAUAAUAUAAUGAUUGGCGUCAAUUAUUAUUGAAAACUCCGGUGGAUAGAGAUGGGCACGCGCAAGAUUAGAUAGUUGGUGAGGUAACGGCUCACCAAGUCAAUGAUCUUUAGGGGUCCUGAGAGGGAGAUCCCCCACACUGGUACUGAGACACGGACCAGACUCCUACGGGAGGCAGCAGUGAGGAAUAUUGGACAAUGGGUGAGAGCCUGAUCCAGCCAUCCCGCGUGAAGGAUGACGGUCCUAUGGAUUGUAAACUUCUUUUGUACAGGGAUAAACCUACCCUCGUGAGGGUAGCUGAAGGUACUGUACGAAUAAGCACCGGCUAACUCCGUG
RNAcentral lists this ribosomal RNA (479 nucleotides) under uncultured bacterium. Its description in RNAcentral is "partial 16S ribosomal RNA". It matches the Rfam family "Bacterial small subunit ribosomal RNA", at positions 28 to 507 of the family's 1533-position model. The record is from RNAcentral.